UAAGCUUAUGUUUCCUUAUAUUGUUUCAGAAAAUUCCUCUUGUUAUUGCUGGCCGGCGACCUGGUGAUGCUGAAGUUGUCUAUGCAUCAACAGAUAAGGCAGAGAGGGAACUGAACUGGAAGGCGAAAUAUAACAUUGAUGACAUGUGCCGGGAUCAGUGGAAUUGGGCUAGCAAGAACCCAUAUGGCUAGGGACCUCAAGACAAUAGCAGCUGAAAGCCGAAACCUAAUAGUUCAUAUGCUUUACAAAUUUAGUUUAGGGGUUACCAUCAGUGGAACUGGGCUAGGCAAAUCCAUAUUUAUGGAUCUCCAGACUCUAGCUACAACUAAAAGCUGAUAGUUUUAUGUACUCUAUAUCUUAGCUUAGCGUCAUCUCUCACCUCUAUGUAAAUCUUUUGUGGCCUUCCAGAUAUUAGGUUUUUGUUUGUUGACGGUACUUAUAAGCGAUAGUCAUUAUGGUGUUACGUUCUGGAUUACUUGGCCAAUUAAUGUUAUGUUUUUAUCGUCCUUUAAUUUGAUCACAGCUUUAGUAUCAAAAUUGUAACCUUUGGAUUAGAUCAUGAGAUCAGAUUGCUGCCUUCUAAUAUAUUUGCUAUACAAAAAUUUGACUUGUUCUCGAGAAA
Rosa chinensis is the source of this 622-nucleotide long non-coding RNA. RefSeq lists it as uncharacterized. The transcript is spliced from 2 exons. The record is from RefSeq and is a predicted model, not a curated record. Lineage: Eukaryota; Viridiplantae; Streptophyta; Magnoliopsida; Rosales; Rosaceae.